RNAcentral lists this small nucleolar RNA (87 nucleotides) under Jaculus jaculus (lesser Egyptian jerboa). RNAcentral describes it as "Small nucleolar RNA SNORD35 (ENSJJAG00000007020.1)". It matches the Rfam family "Small nucleolar RNA SNORD35". Rfam says of the family: U35 is a C/D box snoRNA located in intron 6 of ribosomal protein L13A and intron 3 of ribosomal protein S11 in humans and at homologous positions in mouse and chicken ribosomal protein genes. U35 guides the methylation of 2'-O-ribose sites in 28S rRNA. Lineage: Eukaryota; Metazoa; Chordata; Mammalia; Rodentia; Dipodidae. The record is from Rfam by way of RNAcentral.
GGCAGAUGAUGUCUGUUUUCACCAUGGUCUUCGAUGUCUACCACAGGCACUGCCGAAACAGCCACUUGAUAAAGCUGAUGUCAGAAG